Molecule: long non-coding RNA, 1151 nt
Organism: Brassica napus (rape)
Lineage: Eukaryota; Viridiplantae; Streptophyta; Magnoliopsida; Brassicales; Brassicaceae
Exons: 4
Source: RefSeq, a predicted model, not a curated record
UGAAAUAAAUAUAGACGUCGAGGUCUUAAUUUUUAAGUUCUUCCCCCUAAGAAGUUGCCUAAAUAAUUUGUCUCAUUCAAACAGUGAUCCCACUUUUUCUAUUUUGAUAUAUAUUCUGUUAAAUUUAGAGGGCUCCACUUCAUUACAAAAAUCUAUUUUCUUAAUUUUUUUGUCAACCAUUACAAAAAUCCCCCAUAAUCUCAUUUUCAAUGGCCUACCUUUUGAUUUAUAACUGUCUUUUUAUUUUAUUUUUUACGGAAUAAAAUGGAAAACAAGUGUCUAUAUAUAUAUAAACGGAAUUACUCGAUCCAUAACAGCCACUCUCCAGUUUAAAAAAUAUUUUUUUAAACAAAUAAAAAAUCAAUUAUGGCGAAUCUUUCUUCUGGUUUUCAGACAUUCACAAUGGAUGAUCCAAUAACUCAACUUGCAGAACUAAACAACACUCUUCAUCAGUUCCAGAAAAUGUUCGCUCCCCCUUUCUCUUCUUCUCUCGAAUCUCUUUUCUUUCAUCAUCAUCAAAACCAACAAUAUUACCGAAUCAUGUUCCCGGGAAAUCUCUCGACGAUAAUAGUUUUCAUCAAGAGACUUUCCUCCCUUCUAAUAUUCACGACAACGACGAGUCUUUUUCAAGAAACGAUACCAAGAAGAGAAAAGAAUUAUUGUCGUCCGUGUCUACGUCGGAAAACAGUAUCUCUGAUCAAACGUUAUCUACCGUUUCUGCUCAAGUUUCCACUAAUGGAACCAAAAAUAAUACAGAGUUAUUCAAGGAGGGUAAGGUCGAAAAGUAGAGAAGAAGAGAAAGAGAGAGAAGUUGUUCAUGUUAGAGUAAAAAGAGGUCAAACCACUGAUAGCCAAAGCUUAGCAGAGCGGGUUCGACGAGGGAAAAUAACAAGAGAUUGAAAUGCUUGCAAGAUAUAGUCCCCGGAUGUUAUAAGGCAAUGGGAAUGGCUACGAUGCUGGACGAAAUAAUUAAUUACGUUCAGUCAUUACAAAAUCAAGUCGAGGUAUAACAUCCCUAAGACUUAACUAAGACCAUCAAAUUACAUAUUUUCUAAUGUAAUUACUAAUCCAUUUUUAAUGUGGAAUCAGUUUUUAUCUAUGAAGCUUACGGCAGCAAGUUCGUAUUAUGAAUUUAAUACUGUUACACUAGG